AAACUUAUAACAUUCGUCCAGUUGACAACUUGAAGGAGCCCACUUUUGCUUUUUUUUCUGGUUGUUGAUUACAGAAGUCGUAAAAGAAGGUUCAUCUUCAGUUCUUGUUCAAAUCACGAUCAUCCGUCGUCUUUCUUUCUCCAUCGCUACAAGGGUUUGCUAUUGGACAAUCUUUGAGGAGGAGCUAGAUUAAGAGGCUUUUGUGAAGAUGUGGGCAGCUUCUUGCCUUGCGUCAUGCUGCGCGGCGUGCGCUUGUGACGCUUGCCGUACGGUAGUGUCAGGGAUCAGCCGUCGUUCCGCCAGGAUUGCCUAUUGUGGUCUUUUUGCUUUGUCACUCAUUGUCUCGUGGAUUCUUAGAGAGGUUGCUGCUCCUUUACUGGAGAAAAUACCAUGGAUUAAUAGCUUUCAUUCGACACCGAACAGAGAGUGGUUUGAGACAGAUGCUGUGCUUCGG
This is a non-coding RNA of Nicotiana tabacum (common tobacco), 454 nucleotides long. Lineage: Eukaryota; Viridiplantae; Streptophyta; Magnoliopsida; Solanales; Solanaceae. The record is from RefSeq and is a predicted model, not a curated record.